This 253-nucleotide ribosomal RNA is filed under the name uncultured bacterium. Its description in RNAcentral is "partial 16S ribosomal RNA". It matches the Rfam family "Bacterial small subunit ribosomal RNA", at positions 524 to 776 of the family's 1533-position model. The record is from RNAcentral.
CACGUAGGGUGCGAGCGUUGUCCGGAAUCAUUGGGCGUAAAGAGCGCGUAGGCGGCCCGGUAAGUCCGCUGUGAAAGUCAAGGGCUCAACCCUUGAAUGCCGGUGGAUACUGUCGGGCUAGAGUCCGGAAGAGGCGAGUGGAAUUCCUGGUGUAGCGGUGGAAUGCGCAGAUAUCAGGAGGAACACCAAUAGCGAAGGCAGCUCGCUGGGACGGUACUGACGCUAAGGCGCGAAAGCGUGGGGAGCGAACAGG